RNAcentral lists this unclassified non-coding RNA (298 nucleotides) under Hevea brasiliensis (rubber tree). The record is from RNAcentral. Lineage: Eukaryota; Viridiplantae; Streptophyta; Magnoliopsida; Malpighiales; Euphorbiaceae.
GAGCUUACUCGGCAAGCACCAUCCAAGGUGGAUUGCGAAUUACCAUGAGCAUGAAACCCUUUUGCAAGAGAAUGAAGAGGAAAAGCUAACAAAGGAGGAGCAAGACAUGGCUUUGGGAGUAUAUAGGAGAUCAUNUGGGAGGAAGUGCAACGAGUUUCUCUUGAUGAAUCCACAUUCGAGCGAAAGCCACCCAUGCCAAGUGUUGUUCCUUCUGCACCAGAGACAAGCAGCUUGCCUACUUCAAGCAUGGCCCCUCCUGCACCUGAGGCUUCUAAUUCCAACGUUACACAUUACAAGG